Molecule: ribosomal RNA, 252 nt
Filed under: uncultured Oscillospiraceae bacterium
Lineage: Bacteria; Bacillati; Bacillota; Clostridia; Eubacteriales; Oscillospiraceae
Description: partial 16S ribosomal RNA
Rfam family: Bacterial small subunit ribosomal RNA
Source: RNAcentral
UACGUAGGUGGCAAGCGUUGUCCGGAAUUACUGGGUGUAAAGGGAGCGUAGGCGGGAGAUCAAGUUGGACGUUAAAUUCAUCGGCUCAACCGGUGCAAGCGUUCAAAACUGGUUUUCUUGAGUGGAGUAGAGGUAAGCGGAAUUCCUAGUGUAGCGGUGAAAUGCGUAGAUAUUAGGAGGAACACCAGUGGCGAAGGCGGUCUGCUGGACAGCAACUGACGCUGAGGCGCGAAAGCGUGGGGAGCAAACAGG